UUUUUUUCUCUUUCUUUUGCAUUUGCUUUGUUUUUGUAAGCAAUUAGCAAAGCACAUGCGUUAGACAAGCUGUACAAGUUUUGUAUGUCGUCCGAUGCUUGAGCACAGGCCAGGUAGCUUUCGAAGAGAAGAUUGCCAAGUAGCAGGUCGUUCUCUCACUCAGAGCGUCUCCCGAGUCUAGAAUUUUACAAUAACAACGAUUUACUUACAUGCGCUCAAAUUCUCGAUCUUGAAUGGAUUUUAGUCGGCAAAAAUGCGCCUCCUGGAGAAAAUGAUUUAGGGGAAACAGAGUAUGUCAUUUAACUAGAAAACUAACAAGAUCUUCCAAGAAAGAAGAAAAAGAAUAAGAACAGGGAUAUCACAUCCACGGCGUUGCAUCGCCCAUCUUGCCGGAAGAAAGAAAAAAAGAAAAGAAAAGAGGAUUAAAGCAAGAUCCGGAGAGACAAACCUGAUCAUGCAAUCGGAUGAGUAUGGAACCCCAGCACCGUGCAGCGGCACCGGAUCCAGGCGCAGUCGCUUUGUUUGGAUGGUUUCGAGCUCAUCCACAGCAGGCUAGACAGCUUUUUGGUGCAGGGAUUUGUUUAGGGUAAUGG
RNAcentral lists this long non-coding RNA (593 nucleotides) under Selaginella moellendorffii. RNAcentral's name for it is "long non-coding RNA (SMOE_LNC000256)". Lineage: Eukaryota; Viridiplantae; Streptophyta; Lycopodiopsida; Selaginellales; Selaginellaceae. The record is from RNAcentral.